ACCUGUCUCAGUUCGGAUCGGAGUCUGCAACCCGACUCCGUGAAGCUGGAUUCGCUAGUAAUCGCGCAUCAGCCAUGGCGCGGUGAAUACGUUCCCGGGCCUUGUACACACCGCCCGUCAAGCCAUGGAAGCCGGGGGUGCCUGAAGUGUGCAACCGCAAGGAGCGCCCUAAGGUAAAACCGGUGACUGGGGCUAAGUCGUAACAAGGUAAC
Molecule: ribosomal RNA, 212 nt
Filed under: uncultured bacterium
Lineage: Bacteria
Description: partial 16S ribosomal RNA
Rfam family: Bacterial small subunit ribosomal RNA
Source: RNAcentral